GUAGGUGGCAAGCGUUGUCCGGAAUUAUUGGGGCGUAAAGCGCGCGCAGGCGGUUCGUUUAAGUCUGAUGUGAAAGCCCACGGGCUCAACCGUGGAGGGUCAUUGGAAACUGGAGAACUUGAGUACAGAAGAGGAAAGCGGAAUUCCACGUGUAGCGGUGAAAUGCGUAGAGAUGUGGAGGAACACCAGUGGCGAAGGCGGCUUUCUGGUCUGUAACUGACGCUGAGGCGCGAAAGCGUGGGGAGCAAACAGGAUUAGAUACCCUGGUAGUCCACGCCGUAAACGAUGAGUGCUAAGUGUUAGGGGGGUUUCCGCCCCUUAGUGCUGCAGCUAACGCAUUAAGCACUCCGCCUGGGGAGUACGGCCGCAAAGGCUGA
This 377-nucleotide ribosomal RNA is filed under the name uncultured organism. Its description in RNAcentral is "partial 16S ribosomal RNA". It matches the Rfam family "Bacterial small subunit ribosomal RNA", at positions 527 to 897 of the family's 1533-position model. The record is from RNAcentral.